Molecule: RNA transcript, 2167 nt
Organism: Musa acuminata AAA Group (dessert banana)
Lineage: Eukaryota; Viridiplantae; Streptophyta; Magnoliopsida; Zingiberales; Musaceae
Gene name: O-fucosyltransferase 31-like
Exons: 12
Source: RefSeq, a predicted model, not a curated record
AAUCCGCCGGCCCGCAGCUGGACCCACGAAGCCAGGCGCCACCAUCUUCUUCCAUCGACUUUGUCUAGGGUUAGGGGGUCACCAUCUGCGAUCGCAGGCGGAAGGUGGAUCCGCGAGGAGGUGCUCUGCUACGCGAUGUUGCUGCGGCUGCUGCGUUCGUGGCGGCGCCGUCACCACCCGCCGCAGAGAGGCGGAGCGCUGGCAGCCGCGCUGGUGAUACUCCUCCCGGUUUUCUUCCCGUCGCUCUUCACCCCGCUCGGCCACGCAUUCCCUUCCCUCUUCUCCGAAUGGAAUGCUCCCAAACCGAUGCAUCUAUCUCUUCUAAGGGAUGCCUUAGAACGUAAAACAUCAAUUGAUCAACAGUCUGAGCUUUGGGCUCCCUUAGCAUCACAAGGAUGGAAACCUUGUAUUGAAUCUACAAGUACCUCUUCACUCCCCAGUAAGUCAAAUGGAUAUAUUCAGGUUUUCCUUGAUGGUGGACUGAACCAACAGAGAAUGGGAAUCUGCGAUGCAGUUGCUGUUGCUAAAAUUUUGAAUGCUACCCUUGUUAUCCCAUACCUUGAAAUCAAUCCUGUCUGGAGAGACUCAAGCUCUUUUGAGGAAAUAUAUGAUGUGGAUCAUUUUAUUGAUGUCCUCAAAGAAGAAAUCUCAGUAACUAGAGAAUUGCCCAAGGAAUACUCUUGGAGCACUAGAGAGUAUUAUGCUAUUGGCAUUCGGGCUACAAGAGUAAAGACUGCACCUUCUCAUGCUUCAGCAAACUGGUAUCUCGAGAAUGUUCUACCUGUCUUACAGAGUUAUGGUAUUGCUGCCAUUUCCCCUUUUUCACACCGAUUGGCUUUUGAGAAUUUGUCUGGGGAUAUACAACGCUUAAGGUGUAAGGUCAAUUUUCAAGCGUUGGCAUUUGUCUCUCAUAUCAACGCUUUAGGGGAGACACUUGUUAAGCGGUUGAGGAGUCCAGUCCAUCAACAACCUGAGGAGUUUUUAAAGGAAGUAGCGGAUGAAAAUGUUCAGGAGGGCCCUGGAAAGUUUGCUGUGCUGCACCUUAGGUUCGAUAAGGACAUGGCUGCACACUCUGCCUGUGAUUUUGGGGGUGGUAGAGCUGAAAGGCUUGCUUUGGCCAAGUACAGGCAAGUGAUUUGGCAAGGGAGGGUCUUAAACUCCCAAUUCACUGAUGAGGAAUUGCGAGGCCAGGGAAGAUGUCCAUUAACUCCCGAAGAAAUAGGAUUGCUACUGGCAGCUUUAGGCUUUGACAGCAGCACUCGUCUAUAUCUUGCCUCUCAUAAGGUGUAUGGUGGAGAGGCCAGGAUAUCCAGCCUACGCAUGCUUUUCCCACUGAUGGAUGAUAAGAAGAGUCUUGCUUCAGAAGAGGAGUUAGCUAAGGUGGAAGGAAAGGCAUCUCUUCUAGCCGCCGUCGAUUACUAUGUUAGCAUGCACAGUGAUAUCUUCAUUUCUGCAUCCCCAGGGAAUAUGCACAAUGCAGUUCUGGGCUAUCGAACUUACGAAAACUUGAAGACCAUACGACCAAACAUGGGUUUGCUAGGACAACUCUUCCUGAACAAGACCAUGGACUGGUCCGAGUUCCAACGGGCUGUCCAAGCUGGUCACAAAGCUAGACAAGGGCAAAUCAGGUUGAGGAAACCAAAACAAUCCAUAUAUACAUAUCCAGCUCCAGAUUGCAUGUGCCAAGGGUGAGCUGCCAAACUGGUCCUUUCUUACCACAUAGACUGAUCCUUUGAUGUCCUCUAACAUCAAACCCCUGUGUCCCUUGCUAUCAUUAAUUGUUAUCGGACCAAAUUGUUAUGCUAGAUUGUGUUAUGGUGUUCCUUGUGAAAAUUGUUCUUUUCAGAUGAAGAACACAUUUUUUCUCCUAGAAGUAUACCCUUCAAUUUGCAUUGGUUGCAUCAAUAGAGCAGAGUCUGUAGGCAGUCAACGGAAAAGAAAGCAGCGGCGGAAAGAUGACCUCGUACACUUUUGCCUGCACGCAGAUAAGAUAGUAGGCAUCGGCGCCUGCUCCGGUCAUGGCCGCAGCGACGUACCCCCAUCUUCGGCGACUUCGACUUCUUUUGCUGCUUAGGAAGGACUACUCUCCUGAAAGGGGUUUUGCUGUGAGAUCAAACGUUGUGGGAACAGCUUUGCCUUCAUCCAAAGACGCCAUUUGCAUGGCCAA